Molecule: long non-coding RNA, 366 nt
Filed under: Zonotrichia albicollis (white-throated sparrow)
Lineage: Eukaryota; Metazoa; Chordata; Aves; Passeriformes; Passerellidae
Description: lncRNA (ENSZALG00000008419.1)
Source: RNAcentral
GUCAUUCUAUGUGAUGAUAUAUAUUGUGGCAAUAUUGCUUAAGAUCAUCUUAAGUCUUUAAAUGCUUUUUCAUUUAUUAAAUUUUUAGGUUUGUGGCAGCAAUUCCCCUUCCCACCACUGAUUUUGUUGUUUUUUGCCUUUCAGAUUGUGGGAAUGAGAGGAGUGCAUUAAGGAUACACAAACAAAGCCUGAGGAUGAUGAGUGCAUAAAAACACCUUUGUUAUCCAUUGCAGGACUCUUAUAGGACAGAUGGCUUCUCAUGUUGUGCGUCCAGACAGAGAAGUAAAAGCUGGAUCAGUUAAGAAAAAGUCCGUGGUGGUGCAGAUGGUGAUGACAGCUCAUACAGAAAUGCUGCUAGAUUUCUAA